AUGCUGUGUCUGAAGAUUGUUAAAGUCGUGACCCAGACAGCCCUCCGCAUUCUCCUACCAGCGCUAGCUCGUAUCAUGGGGGUGAACCUGAGGAGUGGGGCAACCUCCCCAGAAUCCCAGUGCUCUCUGACAGGGUCUGAGGAUUCCUUAGGCGGUCUGGAUGAGAGAGAGAAAAGGCUGCUGAUCAGUGAGAUGAACUACUGGACUAAGGAGAGGAGGAGGAAUGGCAGUGCAGGAUGCCACCAAAAAUCCACUCGCAGGACCUCAUCACCAUGCUGUUUGCCUAAGAGGUCCCAGACCUCAUUGCAGAGCUUGCCUGCAACUAGAGAGGCUCCCCUCAUGGAGGAGCCUCUGAAGGCUCUUUUUGGGGUAACGGAAGAGAGCCUUCUGAUAUCCCUGGUUGAGGGUCACUCCAACCCCACCUCCUCCAGCUCCUCCGAGUUGAGCUGUGCUAUCGUGGGGGAGGUGGUACACCAGCUUAACUCUGGCCUCUCAGUGGCCAUUCAGGCCAGCCCGGGGAGUUGCCCCCCUAUGGACAGUCAGGACAUAGCAGCAGGCAAGGAGGUCAUUCUAGUAGCCUCGGUUCAGAUCCUGGCCGAGCUACAGAGCCAAACAUCUGAGCCAGAGUGGGUAGGGUUUAUCGAGCCCCUCAUGGACCCUGUGACCGAUGAUGUGCUGGAGGCCAUUGUCGGCACAAUGGACAAAAUGGCACAGGACUUCAACAUCCUAUUGGAUCUGGCCAAGAAGAUGACAAUCUUGGGGUCUAAAUUUCUGACCAAUCUUCAAUGUGACCUAGAUGUUGAGUGUCCAUCUGGGAAGGAAGGGACCACUCACUUUCUCAAAGAGACUGGAUCCUCUACCAGUGUGGUGGCCAGAAAGAUUCAGACCCUCUCUAGCCCCGACUUUCAGUCUAAAGCCCUGAAGGCGGUUAGCACCAUCCUUACAAGGAAAGUCAGCAGCUCUUCUGGCAUGGCUCCUUCCUCUAGGCCUUCUAGUGCUGCUCCUAGCCUUACUGAAGCCCCGCUGAAUACCAGCUGCACAGCCCUGACAUCUGUAACCUCCACUGCCACAGUGAUUGUUAAGGCAUUUGUGGGAGGCAUGGAGACGAUAGCAUCAUUUGAAGACACAUGUGAAGCAGUUGAUUGGCCAGUUCCUGUAAAUGACCACAAAACAGGGUCUUCACAGAAGAUAACCUUCUCUCUAGCCGGCACACUCUAUGGCCGUAUACGAGCAAAGCUGAGGGACCUUUUAACUCUAGCCGCUCGAGAAGAAGGUGUGGCAAAGGAUGCUUCUCUUCGGGAGUCUUCAGACACCCUGGAAAAGGCAACUGUUUCAACUGUUGAGGUCCAGUUACCCAGCACCGAACACAGUAGAGUUCACAGAGAGAGCCAACCAAUACCAGCUCUCUGUCUCUCCAAUCUGGAUACCAGUACUCAAGAAGUUCUUAGCAGUGUUUUUUCCAUCUACAAGUCAGAGUUAUCAAAAGUGGAGAGUAAAUCCUUAGCCGUUGUCAGUUCAUCUGAUGAGUCCCUAGAGGCUUGUUGGUUUGUUGAUGGUGUCCUAUCAAAGCUUGAUGACUAUACUAUUUCCCAGUCACCCUCACCCAAUGAAGACUUGAGCGUGAGUACUCAAUAUUCUCAACUGAGCUCAGAAGAGAGUGUCAGAAUCACAGAGUCCUCAACUAGUCUGAUUCAGAGCAUUAAGAAGCUCUCUAGCAAUGACUUUCAGACUCAGGCAGAAGAGGCAGUGAGUAAAGUGCUGAUGAGAUCCAGUCAUUCCUUUAUCACACAGAUCAGCCAUACUGGUCUUCAGAAAAGUCUGCAGGCUGGCUUAUCAUCUAACUCACCAUCAGAGAUCCAUGUCCUUUCAGAAUCCAUGUCCUCCAUGUCCUCUGAGAAUACAGCCUCUGGAUUAGUGGAAACCUUUGUCAAAGGAAUGGCGACUAUUUUCCAGAAAAAUGAGUCCACUGACACUGUGCUACUGGAAAGAAGUGGGAGAGUUUCACAGUGCUCCCACGGGGGCUCCCAACUGGAUGAUACUGAAUUGAGUGUUAAAAUAUCAGAGGAGAAGCUUUGGUCAACAGCUAAGAACAUCUGCGUCAGUAUGAAGAACACACUUAAGGAUUUCUUCACAGGGCUGAAGCCAUCCGGAUCCGAAAGGACAGAAAUGGCUUCUUCCAAAGAGACCCUUGGGGAAAUCCUGGUUGCUAUCCAGAGUGAAAUCUCAAACUUCGGGCGAAUGAAGGAUUCCAGGGAGCUCCUUCAGAUCAAUGAUAUGGUAGGAACUAUGGUGAAGGAGAUUGAGAAAAGUGAGGAUGACAGUGAACAAGUCUGCCAAGACAUCCCUCGAACCUGUUCAUCUUUAUCCACUUCUUUAAAUGGUCGUAGUUCCUUGUCCAGCUCUUCAAAGGGUCCUAGGUCAGAGUGUGAGUUAGAGAUCAACCUCCCUGGCACUCCCAUCCCUGACAAAGUGCCUUUUGAUCUGACCUGCCCCAUCGUCAGGAGCUCCUGCAUCGACACCAGGGACUCUAAAAUGCCAGAGAUUUCUACAAGUGACCUAAAGACAAAGAUGAUGGCACACACAGAUGAACCCCUGCAUUGUAACAGUCCAAUGACUGACAGCAGCCGACCACCGAGUGCUAAAGUCUCUUUUCGAUCCUCCACUCCGUCUUUCACCAGCAAGGGAACCUCUUUGGUACCAAAGGGAGAGGGUAUUGACAUUGAAGAGAAGGAGGUGUGUAUCCCCAGCAGCUCUGGCCAUCUGAGGGAGCUCUUAAUCAUCCCGGACAUCAGCAGUGCCACUACAUUCCCACUUCAGUACUUGAUGGACUCCAGCAAAGAUGAUGGCAUCUGUUUUGUCACCAUACUGGUGAUAAGGUUGCUAUCGGAGAUCAGACCCUCAGCCCUAGAUGGACCCUCCCAACAGGCAGCAGAUCUGACAGAAACAUCUCAGCAACUCAUCAGACAAGUCCUGUCUGAGUUCUGUGCUGCAUCUAGAUUAUCCAGGACACAGGCAUAUUCCCAGAACCUGAACAUCCAAAGGGUGUUCAGAGGUGUACAUAAAAACCUCAUGGAGGAGUUUGGCUCUUAUAACACCCUGCAAGCUGCUAUGUCCUCCCAGGACCCUGCAUUUGACAGAGUCCUGGUAAAUUCCUUGACCCAGCAGCUGGUACAGGGAUGCAAGGAGGCGUCAAGACCAGCUUCUGCUGCAACAAACCCAUCAGACCAGGCUGAGACGGAGAGGGGGGCUGAGCAGAAAGCAAGAAGGAGCUUCCUUUGCUUUUCAAUGACCAAACUCAGGAUCAACUUCAAGGUAUAGCAGGGAGUUAGCAUUUGUUUUUUGUUCCAGUUAGGUGCUGAUGUUAUUGAUGUGGCUAUGAUAAGACAAAUACAUUAAAUAAAUGUUUUAUUCAUCACUAAAUUGUUGCCUUGGAUUCAGAAGUGUUCCAUUUAUUUAUUCUCUGUACCAUUUUCUUUACCUUUCAUCUGUUAGCGUUCCAAGAGAGCAAACAAAAAGGACUGUCAUUCAGUCCAGGAACAGACUGAGAUUCCCUCUACUGAUGGACAUUGCAUAGGUAAGGAUGUUUAAGAGCUCUGCUAUAGCUUGUAGUUUUGGUUUAGGUGUGUGUUAGAAACAUAGGUAUGCCUACCAAACUCAUAGCACUUGUUAUUUUUCAACGUUACUAUUCUGCAUCUCUCUCCCCCCCAGUUGGAGAGGUUUCUCCCUCCAUAUCUCAGUCUGUCAAAAAACGAUCCUUGAUUGUCAGGGUCUUUUCAGCAAUGAUGAAGCCAUUUAGGCGCUUCACCAAGAAGAACCUGUAACCUGUUACGCUGCAUGAAGAACUACUUAUGUAACAGCAAGACUUUUGACAAGAGGAAUUUCUGCAUGUCUACCCUUUCAAAGUCUAUUUGAUCAAAUAAAUGCCAUUGAUUUUACAAGAAUUUCAAGUGUUUUGGAAGAUUGAUAAUAAUAAAGCAGAUUUUCUCAGAGAAAUGCACUAGUUCCCCCUUGGUUACACAUUUAUUGUGCAGUUUUUGAGUUGGCAGGACUUGGGGCAGCAGGUAGCCUUGUGGUUAGAGCAUUGGGCCAGUAACUGAAAGGUUGCUAGGUCAGAUCCCUGAGCUAACCAUGUAAAAAUAUGACGUUCUGCUCCUGAACAAGGUAGUUAACCCACUGUUCCUAAGCUGUCAUUGUAAAUAAGAAUUUGUUCUAAACUGACUUGUCUAGUAAAAUAAAUAAAAUAACCACAGCUUGACUCUAAUACAAUAGUUGCUGCAUAGACUGUCAGAUAACCAGAUGUUCUCUAUUAAUUUAGUUAGAUUGGUAAGAGCUUAUUAGCAGCAAGGGGAAAACACAUAGAGGAGAAUUAGCUAUCUGCAGCUAGAUCAACCCUCUGAGAUGUUUUCUAUAUGUUGAAAAUAUAAGGUCCAACAGUUGACAGUGUAUGUCAGAGCAAAAACCAAGCCAUGAGGUCGAAGGAAUUGUCCAUAGAACUCAGAGACAUGAUUGUGUCAAGACACAGAUCUGGUGAAGGGUACCAAAACGUUUCUGCAAUAUUGAAGGUCCCCAAGGACACAGUGGCCUCCAUCAUUCUUAAACGGAAGAAGUCUGGAACCACCAAGACUCUUCCUAGAGCUGGCCGCCAGGCCAAACUGAGCAAUCGGGGGAGAAGGGCAGUGGAGUAUCUUCAACAGCCAUAGGCCCAGGGAUUUCACAUCACAUUCCAUGAUGCAAUGCAGAAUACGGCUUCACACAGAACAAUCACCAAACCCAUAAGAUAACACUUAGCACAGCCAACCAUCAUGUAUCACAUGAAGAGGCAUGUGUGUUCUCCAGACGUGAUACCUUGUCAUGGACCUGCUGUUUCGAUCUUCGCUCUCUCUCUCCCUCUCCCCCACCUCUCUCUCUCCCUCUCUCUCUCUACCACACCUGUUGUCUCGACCUCUGAAUGUUCGGCUAUGAAAAGCCAACUGACAAUUACUCCGGAGGUGCUGACCUGUUGCACCCUCUGUAACCACAUUAUUUUGUUGACUCUGCUGGUCAUCUAUGAAGAAUGUUUGAACUACAGUACUUGAAGAACGAUCUGGCCUUACGAUCUGGCCAUGUACGCUUAUAAUCUCCACCGGCACAGCCAGAAGAGGACUAGCCACCCCUCAGAGCCUGGUUCCUCUCUAGGUUUCUUCCUAGGUUCCUGUUUUUCUAGAGAGUUUUUCCUAGCCACCGUGCUUCUAAAUCUGCAUUGCAUGCUAUUUGAGGUUUUAAGCUGGGUGUCGGAAUAAGCAUUUUGUGACAUCUGCCGAUGUAAAAAGAGCUUUAUAAAUAAAUUGUACUGAUUGAUUGAUGAUUGAUUGUAUGAAAUGGAGUAGCAUAUAUCCAUCAUGUAAAAUGAACAUUGAGCACUGUCUCCAUGGAGUAUAGCACUGCAGCCUUAGGCAAUGUAUAUUUACGUGGUGCAUAACAUUAUCUCAUAUCACAUGUAUGGCAAGACAUGAUUGAUGUAAUUAGAUGCUCUGGAGAGAUCCCACCCUCCUUCCCCAACACAUGUAGAAUGCUUAGAAACCACCAGAAACCUGUGAAAUAGAUCAACAGAUGAUGUUUUAUCUCCUCUCAAGGUCUGUUGAUUUACAGUAUCUCAGAAUCAGGAACUGUCAUAUCCCAUGUGAUAUGUCAAAACAAGUUGAUACAUGGUGCAUUGGGUUUGUAUUUAUUGUGGAUCCCCUUUAGCUGCAGCAGUUACUCUUUAUGGGGUCCAGUAAAAUGAAGGCAGUUAUAUAAUUGUAAAAACAUUCCCGAUACAUUCACAACAGAUUUCACAAAAUCCAUGUUCCUUUUUGAUUUCGGGGCAGGCUGUCAACAGCACGUACUGUGACACUAUGAUAAGUCAACAAUACCUCUAGGCAUAUCUGACGUCAUGUAUUUGAUAUCUUUAUGUGUAGGUUCAUGUCCAUAUUGACAUCAGUUCAUUGUGUUUGAGGACGGUUCACUGACC
This 5989-nucleotide long non-coding RNA is filed under the name Oncorhynchus mykiss (rainbow trout). Its description in RNAcentral is "lncRNA (ENSOMYG00000074674.1)". The record is from RNAcentral. Lineage: Eukaryota; Metazoa; Chordata; Actinopteri; Salmoniformes; Salmonidae.